AACGCGAAGAACCUUACCAGCUUUUGACAUGUCCUGGACGGAUUGCAGAGAUGCGAUCUUCCCUUCGGGGCCGGGAACACAGGUGCUGCAUGGCUGUCGUCAGCUCGUGUCGUGAGAUGUUGGGUUAAGUCCCGCAACGAGCGCAACCCUCGCCCUUAGUUGCCAUCAUUCAGUUGGGCACUCCAGGGGGACUGCCGGUGAUAAGCCGGAGGAAGGUGGGGAUGACGUCAAGUCCUCAUGGCCCUUACAGGCUGGGCUACACACGUGCUACAAUGGCGGUGACAGAGGGAGGCGAAGGGGCGACCCUUGGCAAAUCUCGAAAAGCCGUCUCAGUUCGGAUUGCACUCUGCAACUCGAGUGCAUGAAGUUGGAAUCGCUAGUAAUCGCGGAUCAGCACGCCGCGGUGAAUACGUUCCCGGGCCUUGUA
RNAcentral lists this ribosomal RNA (427 nucleotides) under uncultured Alphaproteobacteria bacterium. RNAcentral describes it as "bacterial SSU rRNA". It matches the Rfam family "Bacterial small subunit ribosomal RNA", at positions 958 to 1385 of the family's 1533-position model. Lineage: Bacteria; Pseudomonadati; Pseudomonadota; Alphaproteobacteria. The record is from RNAcentral.